AUCGCGGUGGCCGAGUGGUUAAGGCGUUGGACUCGAAAUCCAAUGGGGUUUCCCCGUGCAGGUUCGAACCCUGCCCUCGACG
This 82-nucleotide transfer RNA is filed under the name Paragonimus westermani. Its description in RNAcentral is "tRNA-Ser". It matches the Rfam family "tRNA". Rfam says of the family: Transfer RNA (tRNA) molecules are approximately 80 nucleotides in length. Their secondary structure includes four short double-helical elements and three loops (D, anti-codon, and T loops). The record is from RNAcentral. Lineage: Eukaryota; Metazoa; Platyhelminthes; Trematoda; Plagiorchiida; Troglotrematidae.